ACACGAUCGGAAAUGUGUGUCCAAGCAGCAAGUCUGAGGACGAGUGAAAUGCUUUUUCUCUCAAGGACAAGCUGUGAUGGGGAGCGAAAUUUAGUAGCAAAGUUCCUGAUGUCACACUGCCAAGAAAAGCUUCUAGUGAGAAAGUAACUGCCCGUACCGCAAACCGAUACAGGUAGUUGAGGAGAGAAUCCUAAGGUGUGCGAGAGAACUCUCGUUAAGGAACUCGGCAAAAUGACCCCGUAACUUCGGGAGAAGGGGUGCUGACCGCAAGGUCAGCCGCAGUGAAUAGGCCCAAGCGACUGUUUAUCAAAAACACAGGUCUCUGCAAAAUCGAAAGAUGACGUAUAGGGGCUGACGCCUGCCCGGUGCUGGAAGGUUAAGAGGAGAGGUUAGCGCAAGCGAAGCUUUGAAUUGAAGCCCCAGUAAACGGCGGCCGUAACGAUAACGGUCCUAAGGUAGCGAAAUUCCUUGUCGGGUAAGUUCCGACCCGCACGAAAGGCGUAACGAUUUGGGCACUGUCUCAACGAGAGACUCGGUGAAAUUAUAGUACCAGUGAAGAUGCUGGUUACCCGCGACAGGACGGAAAGACCCCAUGGAGCUUUACUGCAGUUUGAUAUUGCGUGUUUGUAUCACAUGUACAGGAUGGGUAGGAGCCGAAGAUACCGGGACGCCAGUCUCGGAGGAGGCAACGGUGGGAUACUACCCUUGUGAUAUGACCACUCUAACCCGCUGCUCUUAGCGAGCAGGGAGACAGUGUCAGACGGGCAGUUUGACUGGGGCGGUCGCCUCCAAAAAUGUAACGGAGGCGCCCAAAGGUUCCCUCAGAAUGGUUGGAAAUCAUUCGUAGAGUGUAAAGGCAGAAGGGAGCUUGACUGCGAGACCUACAAGUCGAGCAGGGACGAAAGUCGGGCUUAGUGAUCCGGUGGUUCCGCAUGGAAGGGCCAUCGCUCAACGGAUAAAAGCUACCCUGGGGAUAACAGGCUUAUCUCCCCCAAGAGUUCACAUCGACGGGGAGGUUUGGCACCUCGAUGUCGGCUCAUCGCAUCCUGGGGCUGUGGUCGGUCCCAAGGGUUGGGCUGUUCGCCCAUUAAAGCGGUACGCGAGCUGGGUUCAGAACGUCGUGAGACAGUUCGGUCCCUAUCCGUCGCGGGCGUUGGAAAUUUGAGAGGAGCUGUCCUUAGUACGAGAGGACCGGGAUGGACACACCGCUGGUGUACCAGUUGUUCUGCCAAGAGCAUCGCUGGGUAGCUAUGUGUGGACGGGAUAAACGCUGAAAGCAUCUAAGCGUGAAGCCCCCCUCAAGAUGAGAUUUCCCAUCACUUUAAGUGAGUAAGACCCCUGAGAGAUGAUCAGGUAGAUAGGUUGGGAGUGGAAGUACAGCGAUGUAUGGAGCGGACCAAUACUAAUCGGUCGAGGACUUAACU
This 1424-nucleotide ribosomal RNA is filed under the name metagenome. RNAcentral's name for it is "bacterial LSU rRNA". It matches the Rfam family "Bacterial large subunit ribosomal RNA", at positions 1492 to 2925 of the family's 2925-position model. The record is from RNAcentral.